AUACUCACCUUGGUAGCACAUACACCAAAAUUGGAACAAUACACAGAUUAGCAUGACCCUUGCACAAGAGUGACAUACAAAUUUAUGAAGUGUUUUAUAUUAAA
Mustela putorius furo (domestic ferret) is the source of this 104-nucleotide small nuclear RNA. The record is from Ensembl. NCBI's taxonomy places the organism in Eukaryota, Metazoa, Chordata, Mammalia, Carnivora, Mustelidae.